GGACUACAGGGGUAUCUAAUCCUGUUUGCUCCCCACGCUUUCGUGCCUCAGCGUCAAUACAGGUCCAGCAAGCUGCCUUCGCAAUCGGUGUUCUAUGGCAUAUCUAAGCAUUUCACCGCUACAUGCCACAUUCCGCCUACCUCAACCUGAUUCAAGUUUGGCAGUAUCAAUCGCAGUUCCGCCGGUUAAGCCGGGGAAUUUCACAACUGACUAACCAAACCGCCUACGCACCCUUUAAACCCAGUGAUUCCGGAUAACGCUUGCACCCUCCGUAUUACCGCGGCUGCUGGCAC
Molecule: ribosomal RNA, 293 nt
Filed under: uncultured bacterium
Lineage: Bacteria
Also listed under: 1 other name
Description: partial 16S ribosomal RNA
Source: RNAcentral